UAAGGAAUAUUGGUCAAUGGACGCAAGUCUGAACCAGCCAUGCCGCGUGAAGGAUGAAGGUCCUCUGGAUUGUAAACUUCUUUUAUCUGGGACGAAAACGGGAUUUUUAUCUCAAUUGACGGUACCAGAGGAAUAAGCACCGGCUAACUCCGUGCCAGCAGCCGCGGUAAUACGGAGGGUGCGAGCGUUAUCCGGAUUUACUGGGUUUAAAGGGUGCGUAGGUGGGCUUAUAAGUCAGUGGUGAAAUCCCCGAGCUUAACUUGGGAACUGCCAUUGAUACUAUAUAUCUUGAAUACCGUAGAGGUAAGCGGAAUAUGUCAUGUAGCGGUGAAAUGCUUAGAUAUGACAUGGAACACCAAUUGCGAAGGCAGCUUACUAUGCGGUGAUUGACACUGAGGCACGAAAGCGUGGGGAUCAAACA
This 421-nucleotide ribosomal RNA is filed under the name uncultured bacterium. RNAcentral's name for it is "bacterial SSU rRNA". It matches the Rfam family "Bacterial small subunit ribosomal RNA", at positions 355 to 774 of the family's 1533-position model. The record is from RNAcentral.